This 292-nucleotide ribosomal RNA is filed under the name uncultured bacterium. RNAcentral's name for it is "partial 16S ribosomal RNA". The record is from RNAcentral. RNAcentral also lists the same sequence under 1 other name.
GGACUACAGGGGUAUCUAAUCCUGUUUGCUCCCCACGCUUUCGCACCUCAGCGUCAGUACCGGACCAGAGAGCCGCCUUCGCCACUGGUGUUCUUCCCAAUAUCUACGAAUUUCACCUCUACACUGGGAAUUCCGCUCUCCUCUUCCGGACUCCAGCGCCACAGUCUUGGAGGCAAUUCCGGGGUUGAGCCCCGGGAUUUCACCCCCAACUUGCAACGCCGCCUACGUGCGCUUUACGCCCAGUAAUUCCGAACAACGCUAGCCCCCUCCGUCUUACCGCGGCUGCUGGCAC